This 1526-nucleotide ribosomal RNA is filed under the name Scincella reevesii. Its description in RNAcentral is "16S ribosomal RNA". It matches the Rfam family "Bacterial large subunit ribosomal RNA", at positions 236 to 2837 of the family's 2925-position model. Lineage: Eukaryota; Metazoa; Chordata; Lepidosauria; Squamata; Scincidae. The record is from RNAcentral.
GCCUCCACACUAGCCCAACCACAACAUCAAACUUAAACCCUAUAAUAAAAACAAACCAUUUGACAAAACUAGUAUAUGCGAUAGAACCCCCCCCCCGGAGCAAUAGAGACAGUACCGCAAGGGAACACUGAAAGAAUAAUGAAACAAACAAGCAAUAUAAAGCAAAGAUAAAGACUUGUACCUUUUGCAUCACGGUUUAACUAGCCACCUACAGACAAAAAGACUUUUAGCCUGUACCCCCGAAACUGAGUGAGCUACUACAAGGCAACUGCAAGAGUGAAUCCGUCUCUGUAGCAAAAGAGUGGAACGACCUAGUAGUAGAGGUGAAAAGCCUAACGAACCCAGUCAUAGCUGGUUGCUCAACAAAUGAAUUUUAGUUCAACUUUAGGUUACUAACGAGCUAAACACACCCCCACCACCAACCUAAAAGAUAUUCAAUAGGGGUACAGCCCUAUUGAAACAGAAUACAACCACAACUAGAGAGACAGCAACCCAGUUUUUAACCAGUAGGCCCUAAAGCAGCCACCAGGAAAUAAAGCGUCAAAGCACAAAAAGAAUCAAAUACCACUAUAAACCACAAACUCCUAAAACACAUUGAGCCACCCUAUAACAAUAGCUGCACUAAUGCUAAAACUAGUAACAAGAAGACUUCUCUAAGUACCCCUUUGUGUCAGUAAUAGAAAAACUACUGAUAAUUAACAGACCAAGCUAGGAACUACACGCAACUGUACAAAAUACUGUCAUACCAACACCGGAGUACUGUAAAGAAAGAUAACAAGCUGUAGAAGGAACUCAGCAAAAAUUAUCCCAACUGUUUACCAAAAACAUAGCCUUUAGCUAUACAAGUAUUAAAGGUCUUGCCUGCCCAGUGAAACAUUUUUAACGGCCGCGGUAUUCUAACCGUGCAAAGGUAGCGUAAUCACUUGUCUUCUAAAUAAAGACCAGUAUGAACGGCUAAAUGAGGAUAAUCCUGUCUCCUACAACCAAUCAGUGAAUCUGAUCUUCCCGUCCAAAAGCUGGAAUCCUAACACAAGACGAGAAGACCCCGUGGAGCUUAAGACUACCACUAACACACUGCCACAGAAAACUAACAAAAGUCUUAAGUUGGGGCGACUUCGGAACAAAACAAAACUCCCGAGCAAUGAACCACACUUCUAACUAAGGCUAACAAGCCAAAGCAUAAAAUGACCCAGUCAUACUGACUAACGAACCAAGUUACCCCGGGGAUAACAGCGCCAUCUUCUUCAAGAGUCCCUAUCGACAAGAAGGUUUACGACCUCGAUGUUGGAUCAGGACACCCAAAUGGUGAAGCCGCUAUUAAAGGUUCGUUUGUUCAACGAUUAAUAGUCCUACGUGAUCUGAGUUCAGACCGGAGAAAUCCAGGUCGGUUUCUAUCUAUGACGCCACCUUCUUCAGUACGAAAGGACAAAGAAAGAAGGACCUCUGUUAAUAACACGUCCUUAUUAUACAACUGAAUAAAACUAAAGUUACAUAGGCAACCUAUGUCAGCCCGAGAUACAGGGCAU